AGUGACUCACAGCUCAGAGCACUGAGAGCCUCAACAGAGAACUGAACUGAUCUGAUUGAACAUGGACAGAUGCUUCAUACUGAUUCUCGUCGUGGGAACAGGUUUGGUGACUGGAGACAGCAUUGAGCCAGAUAAAGGGACAGAAAAAAGUUCUAAAGAAACAGAAACUGUCAAGCUGAGCUGUUCAUAUAGUGCAAGUAGCGGUAUUGUUCGGCUUUACUGGUACAGACAGUAUCCCAACAGAGACCCUCAGUUCUUAUUAUACAAAUAUGCACCAUCAUCGAGUGAUUAUGAAGACACCUCUGAUGAUCGAUUUCAUUCAGCUACAACACAAUCCUCCACUGAACUCACUAUCACUGAUAUACGUCUGUCAGAUUCAGCUCUCUAUUAUUGUGCUCUAAGAGUCGGUGCCCAGUGAUACAAAACAUGAGACAUGUCAUACAAAAACCUGAAGCUCUUUUCACUUUAAAAUUAUCUACUGAAAACCACAGUCAGAACCACAAUUUAUACAGCUCUGAAUGUAAUAAAAUAUGUGGUCACAGCUGUGAGAGUCUGAAGUUGGUCUGUUAUAAAAUCUACUUAUAAAAAAAACUUAAAUGUUGCAACCAAACCAAAUCUGAUUCAAAAGUGCUUAACAAAUUUACUAUACCACCACCCAAUAUAACGUAUAACUCCCCUAAACUAACAUUAUUGGUAAUUACCAAAAUACUUUUUUUCUGUAAUUGUUAAUCUACCAGUUUGUGCUCACAGUUGUAUUUCUAAUUGAUUAAUGUCAGAUGAUAGAAUUAUUAGUUUUAAGUUUGUGUGCGUACAUACUUUUUAUGUGUGUGUGUGUUUGUACUGGUAUAUAUGGUUUAUGAGGACACAAAUGUGUAUAAUGACAUGGGUACUACAAAGUAAACACGGUUUAUGAGGACACUUCACUUCAUGUGUGUAUACAUACACAUAUGCACACACACAAAAACAUAUACACAGACACACUCAAAUAGUUUCUGACAUAAGCAUAUUUUUUCCUGUUAGAAAGUAAACAGACUCCAUCGGUGAGCGGGGUUUAUUCACACUGUUGAGAGCGUGAGCCAGAGUUAAACAGUUAAAGUCUAU
Carassius gibelio (silver crucian carp) is the source of this 1101-nucleotide non-coding RNA. The record is from the annotation of a RefSeq genome assembly. Lineage: Eukaryota; Metazoa; Chordata; Actinopteri; Cypriniformes; Cyprinidae.